GUGACGCGGAGCAUUUUCUCACGUGCUUGUUGGCCGUGUCUAUGUCUUCUUUGGAGAAUGGCCCAUUCAUGUUCAGAGUAACUACUGAAAGGUAUGAAUUUAGUGCCACUGUGUUACCUAUACAGUCCUUGUUUCUGUGGAUUGUCUGUUUCUUUGGGCUCCCUCUUUGCUUACAAGAUACCCCUUACUAUUUCCUGCAGGGCUGGCUUGGUGGUCACAUAUUCUCUCAGUUUCCGUCUGUCCUGGAAGCUCUUUAUUUCUCCUUCUAUUCUGAAUGAGAGCCUUGCUGGAUAAAGCAUUCUUGGCUGCAGGUUCUUCUCAUUUAGGACCCUGAUUACAUCAGGCCAGCCCUUUCUGGCCUGCCAGGUCUCUGUGGAUGGGUCUGCUGUUAAUCGAAUAUUUCUCCCAUUGUAUGUUAGGAAUCUCUUAUCUUGAGCUUCUUUCAGGAUUUUCUCUUUAUCUCUGAAAUUUGCAAGCUUCACCAUUAUAUCAGGGUGUUGAUAAGUUUUUAUUGAUUUUGUGAGGGGUCCUCUCUUGGUUAUGAAUACCUGCUUCCUUUCCCAGAUUAGGGAAGUUCUAGCUAUGAUAUGCUCAAAUAUACCUUCUGGUCCUUUACUCUCUCUCUCUGCAUCCUCUGGAAUUCUAAUAAUAUGGACUUUUUUUUUUUCAAACUAUCACUUAAUUCUUGGAGUCUCUCCUUGUGGGCUCUUAGUUGUUUUUCUCUUUUCCUCAGCUUCUUUCCUUUCCAUCAACUUGUCUUCUCUGUCAUUUAUUCUCUCUUCUGCCUCAUUUGCCCUAGCUGUUAGAGCAUCCAGUUUAGACUGCAUCUCAGAGCAUUUUUAAUUUUGACCUGAUAAGAUCUCAUUUCUGUUCUAAGAGAUUCUCUACAGUCUUUUAUGCUCUUUUCAAGCCCAACUAGUGACUUUAUAAUUGUAAUCCUGGACUCUAUGUCUGACAUCUUGCUUAAAUCCAUUCUUUCUUUCAUGGUGAAUUCUUCCUUCUAGUCAUUUUGUCCAGUGAAGAAUGGCUGUGUGAUUCAGCAGAGUAAAAUUAUCAACCAUGACCCAAGCAAAAUACACACUAGAUAAUUCUGAAGACAUUAGGAGCCAGAAAUUAAAAGGAAAAAGACAAAGAAAACAAAAAAACAGAGAGAGAGAGAGAUUGAGAGAGAGAAAGAACAAAAAAAAAAAAAGUAUUGGAUUGGAAAGGAGAGAGAACAUAGUCUCUUGGACUGGACCAGGGCGAUCCACUUGGUUCUGAGUGUAUUUUGGUCUCUGUGUUUGAAGAUACUAAAUUCAAAAUCUAUUUAAAAAAAAAGCAAAAGUUAUAUAUAUGCAAAAAGAAAAUUGAAUACAGUGAAAGGAAGCCAAAGGUGAAGAAUAUAUCUGUAACAUGUCAUUGUAAAAUACAAAAAUCAAAAAAGAAAAGACCUAAAAAAGAGUUGAUAAAAUAAUAAAUUAGUUGAGAUAGGAAAAAACGAAAAAAUACUGGAAACUUAAUCUGAAAGAUAAGAGAGAAACCUCGAGUCCUAGAUACUAUUUUACCCCAGUCCUGGUGUUUUUCAGUGCUGUUUGGUCAGGAGACUUGCUGUUCCCCUGUCCUUCCAGCUGGUGUUCUGGGGGAGGACCUGCUGUGCUGAUCCUCAGGUGUGUGCACCUGUGUGGAGCUGUGCGGCCCCGUUCCAGACGGCUUGGUGUGAGCUGUUGGCGGUGUGAGGUCUCCACUGCCUGAAGGCUUUCCCUGCGUCUCUUGAGGGCGAAAGGGAAAAAAAAAGAAAGCCCAGGAGCCGGGAGGUCCCAGCGUGUGCCCACCUCCAGAUGCUGUUGCCCCCGUCCACCCAAACCCUGCUGGGGGCAGGUGGAAGGGACGCUGCUUUGUGCAAUUUGCAGGAUGCAGGGGAAGGUUCUGCACUCAUGUGGACCACCCCCCCCCCCCCACUUGGCUUGUGCACCUUGCAGGGCCCUGGCAUGGAGACCUUGACCCAGGGGGUGCGCCUCUGCACAGCCUCCUCCAGGGAAAGCAGGGCCCCUUGCUGCUCUCCUGGCCUCUGCACGACGCUACAGGUAGUGUAGACCAAGCUGAGCCUCCCGCAGACCUACGGCCCAAACCUGCAGCCCGCUGUGGGGCUGGGGCGGCCCCGUAGGCCGCAGGGCCUGUCCUCCCUGUGUCUUAGACAUACUGGGCCACCGCCGCUCCUGCACCUGCCGCCUCUGGGGCCCCGUCCAGGCAGGAGCACACUUCUAAAGGCCCAGGCUCAAGCCCCAGGGCUGAGCCCUGGUCCUGCAGCACCCCAAGGCUCCGUCCCCCGCCCGGCCUACCUUUUCCGCCCUCCUAUUUGUAGAGUUCCAAUGUUCUUCCUUCACGUCUCAGGUUGGGUUCUAGAGUGUGCAGGGUGGCCUGAGGGUCAUCUAGCCAAAUGUAGGGGACCAGAUGCCAUGAGGGCUUCUCCUCCGCCGGCAUCUUACCUCUCCGCCUUGGUUUUAGGUGUGAAGGCUGUUGUGCUACCGUCAGAAGUACUCACUGCUUUCACUUUUCUCUUCGGAAUUAGAGAUUGUGUCUAAAAACUGGGCAAGUUAUAAUAAAUCUUCAUCUUCACUGUUUUAGGGGGAAACAGUCUCUCAUAUGUUACUUCUUUGGGAAUUGAGGGUAUAAAAUUAUUUCAGGCUCCUCAAAAUAUUAAGAAAAAUUUAGAGGACGUAUCUAAUUUUGAUUGCUACGAUCUCACUGGCAUACAAGGUGUCAUUUUUAUAGUCUGAGGCUGACUGCGAAUUAGAAAUAAUUUUUUUUCCUAGUAUUAGGACAAAGUUUGAAAUAGUCACUUCUGUUUCUUUUGAGGGGCCUUCUUCAGGCAGUAAAAUAAACGAUUUCAUUCAAUUCUAAAUAUCCACAAUGAUUUUUUGUAAUAAGUAUUACUUAUUGUGGAAAAUUAGACUUUUCCCCUGGGCUCCUUUCACCAUUGCAUCCUGGGGUGAUCUGGCUAGAUCCCAGAAAUCAAGCAUCAGUUCUCCUGCUUAUUUCUAGAGUUUUAGAGAUUUUAUAGGAGGAAAAUUGCCUUUGAAAAUUUACCGAAAACUGAAUUGGCUACUGCAUAUUAAGUUAGGAAGCCUUAAACUGUGUGUGUAGGAUGAGAUCGUCCCACUGAAUGUGUGAAAAGACACUGUCAACAUGAAUCAGGAAAGAUGAAUACGUGGAAUCACAAGUCCCUCUUGCCCUUUGUGGAUUUAUUAGUCAAAAUAGCCUCGGUUAUGCUGUCCUAACAACUCCGGAUCUCAGAGGCCUAACAAAACAGAAGUUUAGCUCUCAUUUGUGUUGAAUGUCCAACACAGGUUGGUAGGGGAGUCUUUUUGUCCGAAUCAAGAAGGCCUCAUCUGGAGACACACUUCCAGAAACAAGCAAGUGGGGAAAAAGGAGUCUGCGGUGUCUUGCACCAGGAAUUAAAUGCUGCAAUUUAGAAGUGAGGAUGUCAUUUUGUCUCACAUCUCAUUGGCCAGAAACAGUCAUCUAACUUCCCUGAGCCGUAAAGGGACUGGAAAAUUCUGUAUUGUAAAAAUGAGGAGAACCAGAUACAGAGACCAAAUUUCACUGCUUGGUCAUGCUACGUAUCCAUGAUGGGUCAACAAAAAGAAUGCUCAGCAUGGACAUUCAGAGGAACAGUAAGGACUAUUUCAUUGCUACCUUUCAGCAUUGAGUACUAUUCCUUUUAAAAUGAUUUUCUUUUCAUGUUAUUUUUAGAAAUCUUCACAAUGUACAACACGUCUUAUGAAACAAAAUAAUUAACAAGAUAAGGUGAACUAUCUGGUAAUGGGUUUUAUUUUUGUUUUUUGGCAUCACAAAUUAAAAACAUCCAGGAAAAUGUCAACCAAUUUGAUUAUACUUAAGCUAUGAUUCAGAGGAAAGUACAGUGAAAUCGGAGGCCUCAUAGCUGGAGCUGCAAGAGAUUAAAAUAUUGUUUUGGAUGCAGUUUCUGUAAUAAGUUGCUGGAAUUAUUAUGACCACAUUUGGAGUCAUGUUUCCUUGAGGAUUGUUUGGCACUUUAGGGGAGGAAAAAGCUUUCCCUUCACCCUCCAAGUGUCCCUGGCCAGUAGGGACUAGCCAAAUUAACAGGAGAAAAGGAUAGAAAUGUAUUUAAUAUAAAUUUUAUGUGAUACAGGCAGGAGCCUUCAUAACGAGAUGUAGACCCAAAGAAAUGAUUAAACUUGAGUGGCUUUAUGUUAACGUUGGUGAAGAGUAUAAAGUCACGAAAAGUCGAAGAUGAUAAGACAGAGUGUGGGAAGGAAAGGAAAACAGCACGGCCUAUUCCUUCAGCGUCCUGUGUCCCUUUGUCUUGGGAGUCUGACAUACGCGGUGCGCCGAGGGGCUGCAUUCUGCGGGCAGCCUUGUCCUGCGUCCCGUCAGCACGUACGAGCUGCAAUAGUUGGAACACGCGAGGAUUUUAUUUAUUUAUUCAUGAGAGAUACAGAGACACGGGCAGAGAGAGAGGCAGAGAG
This is a long non-coding RNA of Canis lupus familiaris (dog), 4487 nucleotides long. RefSeq lists it as uncharacterized. The record is from RefSeq and is a predicted model, not a curated record. The transcript is spliced from 4 exons. Lineage: Eukaryota; Metazoa; Chordata; Mammalia; Carnivora; Canidae.